This 468-nucleotide ribosomal RNA is filed under the name uncultured bacterium. RNAcentral's name for it is "partial 16S ribosomal RNA". It matches the Rfam family "Bacterial small subunit ribosomal RNA", at positions 28 to 507 of the family's 1533-position model. The record is from RNAcentral.
GACGAACGCUGGCGGCGUGCUUAGCACAUGCAAGUCGAACGGAAAGGCCCUGCUUUUGUGGGGUGCUCGAGUGGCGAACGGGUGAGUAACACGUGAGUAACCUGCCCUUGACUUUGGGAUAACUUCAGGAAACUGGGGCUAAUACCGGAUAGGAGCUCCUGCUGCAUGGUGGGGGUUGGAAAGUUUCGGCGGUUGGGGAUGGACUCGCGGCUUAUCAGCUUGUUGGUGGGGUAGUGGCUUACCAAGGCUUUGACGGGUAGCCGGCCUGAGAGGGUGACCGGCCACAUUGGGACUGAGAUACGGCCCAGACUCCUACGGGAGGCAGCAGUGGGGAAUAUUGCACAAUGGGCGGAAGCCUGAUGCAGCAACGCCGCGUGCGGGAUGACGGCCUUCGGGUUGUAAACUCCUUUCGUCAGGGACGAAGCGAAAGUGACGGUACCUGGAUAAGAAGCACCGGCUAACUACGUG